Molecule: ribosomal RNA, 1501 nt
Filed under: uncultured bacterium
Lineage: Bacteria
Description: bacterial SSU rRNA
Rfam family: Bacterial small subunit ribosomal RNA
Source: RNAcentral
GGAUAAACGCUGGCGGCGCACAUAAGACAUGCAAGUCGAACGGAAGUCGUUGUAAUGAUAUAGACAUGGACUGAGAACUUGUUCAAAGAAAGUGAAAGUUGACUUACAACAAUGGCUUUAGUGGCGGACUGGUGAGUAACACGUAAGCAACCUGCCUAUCAGAGGGGAACAACAGUUAGAAAUGACUGCUAAUACCGCAUAUGCCUAAGUACCACAUGGUACAAUAGGGAAAGGAGCAAUCUGCUGAUAGAUGGGCUUGCGUCUGAUUAGAUAGUUGGUGGGGUAACGGCCUACCAAGUCAACGAUCAGUAGCCGGACUGAGAGGUUGAACGGCCACAUUGGGACUGAGAUACGGCCCAGACUCCUACGGGAGGCAGCAGUCGGGAAUAUUGCGCAAUGGAGGAAACUCUGACGCAGUGACGCCGCGUGCAGGAAGAAGGUUUUCGGAUUGUAAACUGCUUUAGACAGGGAAGAAUAAAGACAGUACCUGUAGAAUAAGCUCCGGCUAACUACGUGCCAGCAGCCGCGGUAAUACGUAGGGAGCGAGCGUUAUCCGGAUUUAUUGGGUGUAAAGGGUGCGUAGACGGGAAAUUAAGUUAGUUGUGAAAUCCCUCGGCUUAACUGAGGAACUGCAACUAAAACUGGUUUUCUUGAGUGCUGGAGAGGAAAGUGGAAUUCCUAGUGUAGCGGUGAAAUGCGUAGAUAUUAGGAGGAACACCAGUGGCGAAGGCGACUUUCUGGACAGUAACUGACGUUGAGGCACGAAAGUGUGGGGAGCAAACAGGAUUAGACACCCUGGUAGUCCACACCGUAAACGAUGGAUACUAGGUGUAGGGUGUGAUAAACAUUCUGUGCCGUCGCAAACGCAAUAAGUAUCCCACCUGGGGAGUACGGCCGCAAGGUUGAAACUCAAAGGAAUUGACGGGGGCCCGCACAAGCAGUGGAGUAUGUGGUUUAAUUCGACGCAACGCGAAGAACCUUACCAGGGCUUGACAUAUACAGGAAUAUAUAAGAGAUUAUAUAGCUCUUCGGAGUCUGUAUACAGGUGGUGCAUGGUUGUCGUCAGCUCGUGUCGUGAGAUGUUGGGUUAAGUCCCGCAACGAACGCAACCCCUGUUCUUAGUUGCCAGCACGUAAUGGUGGGAACUCUAAGAAGACUGCCGGUGAUAAAUCGGAGGAAGGUGGGGACGACGUCAAAUCAUCAUGCCCUUUAUGUCCUGGGCUACACACGUACUACAAUGGCUAUUACCGAGGGAAGCGAAGCCGCCAGGUGGAGCAAAACCCAAAAAAGUAGUCUCAGUUCGGGAUUGAGGCUGAAAUCGCCCUUCAUGAGCCGGAAUUGCUAGUAAUGGCAGGUCAGCAUACUGGCGUGAAUACGUUCCCGGGCCCUGAAACAACGCCGGUACACCAGAGAGUUGGGGAUACCUUUAGUCUGGGAGCUAACUUUUAAAGCAACCUUCGGAGGGAGAUCAAUGAUUGGGGUAAGUGGAACAAGGUAUCUU